GGAUGAACGCUAGCGGCAGGCUUAACACAUGCAAGUCGAGGGGCAGCGCGGGAUAGCAAUAUCCUGGCGGCGACCGGCGGAAGGGUGCGUAACGCGUGAGCGACAUGCCCGUUGCCCGGGGACAACCGGUGGAAACGCCGACUAAUCCCCGAUGGGAUAUUGUGCCGCAUGGCACGAUAUUGAAAGUUACGGCGGCGACGGAUUGGCUCGCGUCCGAUUAGCUGGUUGGCGGGGUAACGGCCCACCAAGGCUGCGAUCGGUAGGGGUUCUGAGAGGAAGGCCCCCCACAAUGGGACUGAGACACGGCCCAUACUCCUACGGGAGGCAGCAGUGAGGAAUAUUGGUCAAUGGGCGGAAGCCUGAACCAGCCAUGCCGCGUGCGGGAAGGAGGCCCUAUGGGCUGUGAACCGCUUUUGCCUGGGGGCAAUAAGGGCGUCGCGCACGUCCGAUGAGAGUACCAGGCGAAUAAGCAUCGGCUAACUCCGUG
RNAcentral lists this ribosomal RNA (487 nucleotides) under uncultured bacterium. RNAcentral describes it as "partial 16S ribosomal RNA". It matches the Rfam family "Bacterial small subunit ribosomal RNA", at positions 27 to 507 of the family's 1533-position model. The record is from RNAcentral.